GGGCGCGAUUCACAUCUCAACCGAAAUAUUUGUAAAGCGAUACGAACGAGUUACGAGAUGAAAUCCGCAAUGUUUAAAAACGCGAUUCAUAGCACACAUACUUUGAUCUCGUUUUCAUAUCGCUAGUUCGUAUUUGGAUGGCUUGAGUGAAAUUAAUGAAACUAUAUUUUUUUUAAUUGCCAUGCAAAAAUUAUAAAUACUACCACUAAUUGUUUUAAAUAAUUUUGUUCCUACAAUAUAUUUUGUUGGAAUUAGUGUCGAUAGCAAGUAUCAAGAAACAGCUUUUUAAUUCAACGUUGAAGAAAUUCAUAACCUGUGGCACUUUUGACAGCCGCCAUGUUUUCUCCAUAAAAACAUUGAUUUUCUUUGCUCAUUUUCGUGUCAACGUAGUUUUUUUGGAAAAUAAGAAGAAAGGAAGUUUAACUUACUUAGAGAAAUACGACUGAGACAUAAACACAAGCAGCAGCCGAUGUGCUUGAGUAGCAGAAGGAGCAACUGCGUUGUGAGAGUGCCACGGCUUCAGCCCUCACAAUGAUAGCUGAUUAGCUGAAGUAACGAACAGACAGGCUGCAGUCAAUGAGAGGCUUCUUGAGGAGGGGUUCCUCAUAUGGAAAAAGAUUUUAGCGGCGACGCAGUUGCGCGACCAGUGAAGCUCUGGCUCCGCGACCGGCGUGGAGCGCGCGGUCAGCGCGGCGCUGCUGCGGCUGCUGCGCGGGAGGAUCCCGUCCCUGCGCAUGCGCCUGGCCUUCAAUGACCUCACGCCUCUCUUCUUCCUAUUCUUCAUGCGUCAAUUCAAACAGAGGAGCACCUGUGAUUACUGAUUACCUAAGUUCCUAUAUACAAUAAUAGUUUAAUAAUUGUUAACAAAAUAUUGUAUAUAUAAGUAUUAAUAAUUACUUAUACAAAAGGCUAAAAGCAUUUUGUACCAGCCAACCUAUAGGAGAGAAUAUGAGAAAAAUAAUAAGACUUUAAUCUUUGAUUGCCAUUAUCUGUAGCUUUAUUAAGUGGUAAAGGGACCUAAUUAAUACCUAUAUUUUUUUAGUAUUUGUGAUAAUUCAUAGAAUUUAUUAGUUCUAUCAAUAAAUAAAAUAUACAUGCAUUACAAUGUGUUUAAUUCAUUAACUUACAAUUUGCACACUGAGGGAA
This is a non-coding RNA of Plutella xylostella (diamondback moth), 1146 nucleotides long. The record is from RefSeq and is a predicted model, not a curated record. Lineage: Eukaryota; Metazoa; Arthropoda; Insecta; Lepidoptera; Plutellidae.